UAAACUCUUGGCAACUGUCUAGAUCUAUGAAGUCUCCCAAUCUUUCAACAGAAUAUCAGCAAGUCAGAAUUUGAACAUCGUAGCACCAACGAAUCACUGGCUUUAGGCACAUGCUGGAUAUCAGUUGAUAUCAGCCUACGUUAUUAUGUCAAGGUUAUAUCACACACAUACAGCAUGCCCUACAGUUCACAUUUGUGGUCACAACAUUUACUUAUUGUCACAAUUCACAUCUAUUGUCACAAUUCACAUGUGUUGUCACCACCAACAUUGAGGUCACUAGUAACAUAUGUUGUCACAACUAACAUUGAGGUCACAAUUCACACUUAUUGUCACAAUUCACAUGAGUUGUCACAACUAACAUUGAGGUCACAAUUCACACUUAUUGUCACAAUUCACAUGUGUUGUCACAACUAACAUUUGAUGUCACAAUUCACACUUAUUGUCACAAGUCACAUCUAUUGUCACAAGUCACAUGAGCUGUCACAACUAACAUUUGAUGCCACAACACACGUUUUUGUCACAUCUACCAUUCAUCAUGACAAUACACAUUAAUUGUGACAAUUCCCACUUGUAGUCACAAUGUGUUGAGCAUCUUACAAUCAACACAGUAAGUUCCAAUAUCAAAUAUGGCACCUGCUACACAACAUCUACACCUGAUUUUGGUUCAAAUGAAUAACUGAAUGUCAAAAAUAUAAAAAUUGAAUCUUCAUUAUUUAUUCAUGAAUAAAAUGUUUAAGAGGGGUUUUCAGCCAAAGUUUUUCUCCAUACAUACUGUACAUAAUAUACUUCUGACCAAAGACGUAUACAUGUAUGUAUAUCUAUAUACGUCUUUGUUCUGACAAUUGAUGUUUAAAAAGAAAAUUACUUUGGAUGGAUUUUAAUUAAUUACAAAGUCGGAACAUGUGCAUAUUUGUAACACUGUAUGUGUUUGUUCACAGUAGAUACUGCCAAACUACAAAAUACUUAUAAUUAAUGAAAUAAUUUAUUCAUCUUUACCCACAACAAAAAAAUUCCAAAUUGAACGAGUUCCUGUUGGAAAUACAAUAAUGUAUCCAGUAUAUAUUUUCUGCAAAUGAACCAUCAUCAGUUCCCUGUAUGGAAAAUGUACAUGUUUUGCAUGAAACCGACACAUAAAAUUACAAUGAGGCAUCUAUGUGAAUUAUGCAUGUUUUGUAUAAUAUAAUGUACAGUCGGAAUA
Haliotis rufescens (red abalone) is the source of this 1198-nucleotide long non-coding RNA. RefSeq lists it as uncharacterized. The transcript has 2 exons. Lineage: Eukaryota; Metazoa; Mollusca; Gastropoda; Lepetellida; Haliotidae. The record is from RefSeq and is a predicted model, not a curated record.